CCGGACGCAGGACGGGCCGCCCAGGGAAAAGUGGAGGCAGACAAAGCGGCCAGGGAGGCCCUCCCCUCAGCCCUCAGCCCCCAGCCCUCAGCCCCCAGCCCCCGGGGGCAUCUCGCCGCCCGGGCAAGGCGCUGCCCUCCAGGCCCUCUCCCUCUCCUCCGCGCCUAAAAACUUUUCCCGGCCUUCCCUCCCGCUCUCUCUCUCUCCUCCUCCUCCUUCUCCUCCUCAGGAACCAGAUGUCUAGGAAUUUCCCCAGCUCGGAGCCCGGGCUCCAGCCCACGAAUGUGACGAGGCUGAGCUGAUAGUCGGGGAGGGGGGCGGGAGAAACUUUCCCAAACCUUAAAGGAACAACGGCCCCUCGCUAACCACCGAGCAGCCCGGCCCUCUUCUUCUUCCGAAGCCUCCCUCCCCGAGCGGAGUCCCCGCCUCCUCUGUCCCCCUCCUGUCUCUGACUCUCGCGCUCACACCCCUGUUACUAAUCCACUGUCUUUUUUUUUUUUUACCCUCCCUAGGGUAAUAUUUGCCGAGGAUGGGGUUGGACGGACACAUCCUGUUAUUCGCUGCCUUCAGACAGCCUCGUGGAGUCCUACCUCCCGCCACUUUUAGACCCAGUUGCUUCCCCGGCCUGUAACUGAUUUUCCUGCCCGCCUCCUCCCUCGAGACUGUAAACUCCCGGAGGGCAGGAUUGUAUUUAACAACUACUGUGUGCUUGCCACACGCUCAGCACAGUCCCGGGCACGGAGAAGGUGCUCAGAUGUUAUUGAAGUAACUGGAGUUUUCGUCGAUUGAAAUUGGCUCAUUCAGAAUUUGGCAAAGUGUCAUUCACCCUGCUGCCAAACCAUUCCGAAAUGUUGAUUUCAAUACAUAACAUGAUGAGCGGUGUCGUUACUGGAUCAGAACAGUGGUCCGACCAGCUCCGUUUUCCAUCUCCAAGAGUGGAGACAAGAUGCUUGGAGAAACCACAUAAGGUAACUGAAGCACAGAGAAGUGAGAUGACUUGCCC
Long non-coding RNA from Ornithorhynchus anatinus (platypus), 1003 nucleotides. RefSeq lists it as uncharacterized. The record is from RefSeq and is a predicted model, not a curated record. Lineage: Eukaryota; Metazoa; Chordata; Mammalia; Monotremata; Ornithorhynchidae. The transcript has 3 exons.